AAACAUGUUAUAUUUAGUAUUAGGUUCAUUUACAGAUAAUAUAAACAUAAUAUGAAUUUCAAUCCCUAGUAUAGUUUUUGUAUGCAAUGAACUUUAGUGCAUUUUAAUGCAAUUAAAUGCAAUAAAAUUUAACUUGCAGGCUCAUUUGAAAAAGAAUACCUUGAAUUAAAAAGGCAAGAGCAGAUAGAGAGGUGUGUGAUAAUUAGUGGCAGCAGUUGCAAUUUUCAUUAUUGAAUAUUAUAAAUGCUGACAAACGUUUGUGCAUUGAAUGACAAACUUAAGUUAUUAUUAACAUCAAUGUUACAAUUGAUUACGAUGGAAAACAAAUUAUUUUAAUUAAUUAUACUGUCCAUCUCCAUGACACUAAGUUUGUAAACUGUUUAUAACAUAUAACAGUUUAAAUCUAAAGUUAAGCAUAAUUUCAAAACCAUUAAUUUUGACAGAAAUAGAAGACAUGACGAACUAAUAAACGAACUGAGAAACAUUACAAAAGAACGUGAGUAUGCUGUACGUACAACUAGUUAAUUAACUAGUUAACAGUUUAUUAAAUUGUUAUUAAUGGUUAUUAAGUUAUUACAUCUUUUUUAAUUCUAAAAUUUUAAUCUACAUUAUUUCCGACCCGGACGAAGACAUGCCAGAUAUGUGGAUGAUGGACAACGUUAAUGAAGCGGCUGACCAGACCAAUCCGCAGAUCCGUUCACCCCCUCAGCAUAAAAUCGGUUUGCCUGUUCCACCACCAGUUCCAAGGAGUGGAAUGAUCAUUUCUGCAAAGAAGUCCAAGAGUUGUGCCAUGGCAGAUAAAGACUUGAGAAGUCCACUGAGACCAACUGGUGCUCAUAGUAGUAUUAGCAGGAAUACGGAGACUAGGUGCGCUUUAUCUACUCCACCAAACAUCACAUCUUCAUUGAACCAGGCAACAUUAGAGCAACUCCUUACUAUAAUGGCCGAAAUGCAACAGGAGCAAAAGAAGCAAGGUGAAAUCCUUAGACGGUUGGAACAACGCCAACUCUGUGAACCAGGCGAGCCAGCUGAAGACAUCGAAGAGCCAAUAUUCGUUUUGCCGUGCAAUACAAUAGACGACUUGCAACACCUGGACGCCAACUGAAAACUGAUCACACCAGAAGAAAAAUGGUACGAAAUCUGAGCUUACUGGGCGGUGUUAACCUGAAGUCUGUAGUCUACAGAAUGAUGCAUGAAAUUGUUACACACCAGCUGAGCAUGACGAUGAAUCUAUCGGGGGUGAAGGGCAAGCAGCCCUUAAAUAUUUACACAGAGAUCAUGCAGGCAAUUCACACCAUCAACCUGGGUUGACUCACACUCGGGUGACCGC
This 1330-nucleotide unclassified non-coding RNA is filed under the name Priapulus caudatus. RNAcentral's name for it is "uncharacterized LOC106810477, transcript variant X4". Lineage: Eukaryota; Metazoa; Priapulida; Priapulimorpha; Priapulimorphida; Priapulidae. The record is from RNAcentral.